AGGGUGUAAACGCUGCAGACUUGGUGUUGGAUGCCCUUUGGGGGCAUUCAGUGCCGGAGAGAAGUUGUUAAGUCUGCUACUUGGGAGUACGUCCGCAAGGAUGAAACUUAAAGGAAUUGGCGGGGGAGGCACCGCAACGGGAGGAGCGUGCGGUUUAAUUGGAUUCAACACCGUAAAACUCACCAGGGAAGACUGUUACAUGAAGGCCGAGAUGAAGACUCUGCUAGAUUUUCAGAGAGGAGGUGCAUGGCGUCAGUGACU
This 261-nucleotide ribosomal RNA is filed under the name uncultured archaeon. RNAcentral describes it as "partial 16S ribosomal RNA". It matches the Rfam family "Archaeal small subunit ribosomal RNA", at positions 748 to 1008 of the family's 1478-position model. The record is from RNAcentral.